AUGCACGCUGGCGGCGUGCCUAAUCCCUGCCAGUCGAGCGAACGGACGAGAAGCUUGCUUCUCUGAUGUUAGCGGCGGACGGGUGAGUAACACGUGGAUAACCUACCUAUAAGACUGGGAUAACUUCGGGAAACCGUAGCUAAUACCGGAUAAUAUUUUGAACCGCAUGGUUCAAAAGUGAAAGACGGUCUUGCUGUCACUUAUAGAUGGAUCCGCGCUGCAUUAGCUAGUUGGUAAGGUAACGGCUUACCAAGGCAACGAUGCAUAGCCGACCUGAGAGGGUGAUCGGCCACACUGGAACUGAGACACGGUCCAGACUCCUACGGGAGGCAGCAGUAGGGAAUCUUCCGCAAUGGGCGAAAGCCUGACGGAACAACGCCGCGUGAGUGAUGAAGGUCUUCGGAUCGUAAAACUCUGUUAUUAGGGAAGAACAUAUGUGUAAGUAACUGUGCACAUCUUGACGGUACCUAAUCAGAAAGCCACGGCUAACUACGUG
Molecule: ribosomal RNA, 496 nt
Filed under: uncultured bacterium
Lineage: Bacteria
Description: partial 16S ribosomal RNA
Rfam family: Bacterial small subunit ribosomal RNA
Source: RNAcentral